AGAAUCAACGCUGGCGGCGUGCCUAACACAUGCAAGUCGAACGAGAAAGUGGAGCAAUCCAUGAGUAAAGUGGCGCACGGGUGAGUAACACGUGACUAACCUACCCUUGAGUGGGGAAUAACUUCGGGAAACCGAGGCUAAUACCGCAUAACACCUACGGGUCAAAGGAGCAAUUCGCUUAAGGAGGGGUCGCGGCAGAUUAGUUAGUUGGCGGGGUAAUGGCCCACCAAGACAGUGAUCGAUA
Molecule: ribosomal RNA, 244 nt
Filed under: uncultured bacterium
Lineage: Bacteria
Description: partial small subunit ribosomal RNA
Rfam family: Bacterial small subunit ribosomal RNA
Source: RNAcentral